This 278-nucleotide ribosomal RNA is filed under the name uncultured bacterium. Its description in RNAcentral is "partial 16S ribosomal RNA". It matches the Rfam family "Bacterial small subunit ribosomal RNA", at positions 78 to 354 of the family's 1533-position model. The record is from RNAcentral.
CUUUUCUCCGCCGGCGACCGGCGCACGGGUGAGUAACACGUAGUGCAACCUGCCCCUGUCAGGGGGACAACCCGCCGAAAGGCGGGCUAAACCCGCGUACAUGCCACCGGGGCAUCCCGGAGGCAGGAAAGGCUUCGGCCGGACAGGGAUGGGCAUGCGGCGCAUUAGGCAGUAGGCGGGGUAACGGCCCACCUAACCGACGAUGCGUAGGGGUUCUGAGAGGAAGGUCCCCCACACUGGUACUGAGACACGGACCAGACUCCUACGGAAGGCAGCAG